AAGACUAUAGACCUGCGGAGUACCUGCGGAAGGAUCAUUAUCGAGUCUUGACUGGGUUGUAGCUGGCCUUACAAGGCAUGUGCAUGCCCUGUUAAUCCACUCUACACCUGUGCACUUACUGUGGGUUUCAGAUCGUGAAUUGGGCCUACGGGCUCGUGAAACGCAUCUGUGCCUGCGUUUAUUACAAACACUAUAAAGUAUCAGAAUGUGUGGGUUGCGAUGUAACGCAUCUAUAUACAA
RNAcentral lists this unclassified non-coding RNA (240 nucleotides) under soil metagenome. RNAcentral describes it as "partial contains 5.8S ribosomal RNA, internal transcribed spacer 2, and large subunit ribosomal RNA". The record is from RNAcentral.